UACGAAGGGUGCAAGCGUUACUCGGAAUUACUGGGCGUAAAGCGUGCGUAGGCGGUUUGUUAAGUCUGUUGUGAAAGCCCCGGGCUCAACCUGGGAAUGGCAAUGGAUACUGGCAAGCUAGAGUGCGGUAGAGGGUAGUGGAAUUCCCGGUGUAGCGGUGAAAUGCGUAGAGAUCGGGAGGAACACCAGUGGCGAAGGCGGCUCACUGGCCCGGUACUGACGCUGAGGUGCGAAAGCGUGGGGAGCAAACAGG
Molecule: ribosomal RNA, 253 nt
Filed under: uncultured bacterium
Lineage: Bacteria
Description: partial 16S ribosomal RNA
Rfam family: Bacterial small subunit ribosomal RNA
Source: RNAcentral